RNAcentral lists this ribosomal RNA (921 nucleotides) under Triticum aestivum (bread wheat). RNAcentral describes it as "partial small subunit ribosomal RNA". The record is from RNAcentral. Lineage: Eukaryota; Viridiplantae; Streptophyta; Magnoliopsida; Poales; Poaceae.
AUGAAUCACGAAGAUGGCGCUGAUGCUUGGGGUUCUCAAAGGCCGGAAACACCCCCUUGGGAUGCAACAGAGUACAGUCAACUCAUCUCUUCAGGGCCGUUGCUGCCACUACUAGAGCAGUAUGCAGGCGUAGGUUCUUAUGACCAAAACACAAUUAGGGGGCCCCCGUGGCAAGUUCACUCACAAGGCGCUAACACUGACAAAUGUAUGGGCAGCGAACUUCAACUAGCUUGUAUGGAUAAUCAAGAGCCUUCAUGCAGCGCGUGGCAUCAGGCAACACCAAUGUACCUGCCAUCGACGUCAUACACAGGUUAUUACGCUGGUGGUAACCCGACAAACGUCUCGUGGCAAGCUUCAGAAACUGCAGGUGGAGCACGUCAUUUUGGUGUCACAGACCACACAAGAAGGUCAAAUGCAACACAACAAGGGCCUACAACUACAGUUAACAGCGGCGCGGGGACAUCUACUGCGGGGAGCUCUGAGCGCACGGAAGACGCGUUCCACCAGCCAGCAGACAAUCAUGCCGCAGACAAUUUCGAGUCACAGUCGAGAAUGGCAAUCAUUCCAGCAAUACUGACAAGCACCCCUUUGAACACAAGCACUGCCAACACUCAAGUGGAUGGAAUUGCCGCCGAUACUGAAGUGAAUGAUGAAACUGACGACGAGGCAAAAGGGGAUGAAGAUGGCGGGCAAUCAGAGAUCAUGGUACCUCAGCCACCGUACAUUGGGCAGAGAUUUGAAUCAUUCAAAGAAGCAAAGGAAUACUACCAGACAUAUGCAAAGUUCCAUGGAUUUGUGGUCAACACCGAGUACCAUAGGAAAAUUAAGAAAACAAAUGAGUACAACAGAGGUGAGAUGAGGUGCCACAAGGCACGGAGGAACAAGAAGGGGAAAGGUGAUGCGCCUGUCGUUCCUGAAUGA